Molecule: ribosomal RNA, 408 nt
Filed under: uncultured soil bacterium
Lineage: Bacteria
Description: bacterial SSU rRNA
Rfam family: Bacterial small subunit ribosomal RNA
Source: RNAcentral
AGAUUGAACGCUAGCGGGAUGCUUUACACAUGCAAGUCGAACGGCAGCGCGGACUUCGGUCUGGCGGCGAGUGGCGAACGGGUGAGUAAUAUAUCGGAACGUGCCCAGUAGCGGGGGAUAACUACGCGAAAGCGUGGCUAAUACCGCAUACGCCCUACGGGGGAAAGGGGGGGAUUCUUCGGAACCUCUCACUAUUGGAGCGGCCGAUAUCAGAUUAGCUAGUUGGUGAGGUAAAGGCUCACCAAGGCGACGAUCUGUAGCUGGUUUGAGAGGACGACCAGCCACACUGGGACUGAGACACGGCCCAGACUCCGUACGGGAGGCAGCAGGUGGGAAUUUGGACAAGUGGGGGAAACCCUGGACUCCGAGCCAGUCCCGCGUGUGCGAUGGUAAGGCCGUUUCGGGUUA